AGUGUAGUGCCUGAAUAAAAGGAUUAUUGUGAUAGAAUAAAUUAUGUAGAUUUCUUUCUACCUCCACUA
Molecule: transfer RNA, 69 nt
Filed under: Phoetalia pallida
Lineage: Eukaryota; Metazoa; Arthropoda; Insecta; Blattodea; Blaberidae
Description: tRNA-Ile
Source: RNAcentral